RNAcentral lists this ribosomal RNA (1382 nucleotides) under Streptococcus agalactiae MC626. Its description in RNAcentral is "bacterial LSU rRNA". It matches the Rfam family "Bacterial large subunit ribosomal RNA", at positions 920 to 2316 of the family's 2925-position model. The record is from RNAcentral. Lineage: Bacteria; Bacillati; Bacillota; Bacilli; Lactobacillales; Streptococcaceae.
GAGGGGUCCAUCCCGGAUUACCAAUCUCAGAUAAACUCCGAAUGCCAACGAGAUAUAAUCGGCAGUCAGACUGCGAGUGCUAAGAUCCGUAGUCGAAAGGGAAACAGCCCAGACCACCAGCUAAGGCCCAAAAUAUAUGUUAAGUGGAAAAGGAUGUGGGGUUGCACAGACAACUAGGAUGUUAGCUUAGAAGCAGCUAUUCAUUCAAAGAGUGCGUAAUAGCUCACUAGUCGAGUGACCCUGCGCCGAAAAUGUACCGGGGCUAAAACAUAUUACCGAAGCUGUGGAUGACACAAAAGUGUCAUGGUAGGAGAGCGUUCUAUGUGUGAAGAAGGUGUACCGUGAGGAGCGCUGGAACGCAUAGAAGUGAGAAUGCCGGUAUGAGUAGCGCAAGACAGGUGAGAAUCCUGUCCACCGUAAGACUAAGGUUUCCAGGGGAAGGCUCGUCCGCCCUGGGUUAGUCGGGACCUAAGGAGAGACCGAAAGGUGUAUCCGAUGGACAACAGGUUGAUAUUCCUGUACUAGAGUAUAUAGUGAUGGAGGGACGCAGUAGGCUAACUAAACCAGACGAUUGGAAGUGUCUGGUCAAACAGUGAGGUGUGAUAUGAGUCAAAUGCUUAUAUCUUUAACAUUGAGCUGUGACGAGGAGCGAAGUUUAGUAGCGAAGUUAGUGAUGUCACACUGCCAAGAAAAGCUUCUAGCGAUACAUAUACUCUACCCGUACCGCAAACCGACACAGGUAGUCGAGGCGAGUAGCCUCAGGUGAGCGAGAGAACUCUCGUUAAGGAACUCGGCAAAAUGGCCCCGUAACUUCGGGAGAAGGGGCGCUGAUUUUAGAUCAGCCGCAGUGAAUAGGCCCAAGCAACUGUUUAUCAAAAACACAGCUCUCUGCUAAAUCGUAAGAUGAUGUAUAGGGGGUGACGCCUGCCCGGUGCUGGAAGGUUAAGAGGAGUGCUUAGCGUAAGCGAAGGUAUGAAUUGAAGCCCCAGUAAACGGCGGCCGUAACUAUAACGGUCCUAAGGUAGCGAAAUUCCUUGUCGGGUAAGUUCCGACCCGCACGAAAGGCGUAAUGAUUUGGGCACUGUCUCAACGAGAGACUCGGUGAAAUUUUAGUACCUGUGAAGAUGCAGGUUACCCGCGACAGGACGGAAAGACCCCAUGGAGCUUUACUGCAGUUUGAUAUUGAGUAUCUGUACCACAUGUACAGGAUAGGUAGGAGCCUAUGAUAACGGGACGCCAGUUUCGUUUGAGGCGUUGUUGGGAUACUACCCUUGUGUUAUGGCUACUCUAACCCAGAUAGGCAAUCCCUAUCGGAGACAGUGUCUGACGGGCAGUUUGACUGGGGCGGUCGCCUCCUAAAAGGUAACGGAGGCGCCCAAAGG